Triticum aestivum (bread wheat) is the source of this 1791-nucleotide long non-coding RNA. RefSeq lists it as uncharacterized. The record is from RefSeq and is a predicted model, not a curated record. The transcript is spliced from 3 exons. NCBI's taxonomy places the organism in Eukaryota, Viridiplantae, Streptophyta, Magnoliopsida, Poales, Poaceae.
UUUAGAUUCAACACAUCCUCACCUAUCCCCCUUCUCUCUAGGCACUACGUUGCGCCCACCUCCAAAUCCUGCGUUGCUGCCUCACCUCCGCAGCCUUGUUUCCGCUUGCCGCCUGGCCGACCGUACUCGCCGACGACCCGAAGCAACCAUUACGCGAUGCAACCUAGAUCUCAACGCCAUCCGUUUCGCCAGUUGGUGUGCCAUCCUGUAAAUUGACGGAUUUCCCUCAUCCUGUCGUCUUCGUGAUGCCAAAGGAAGUCGUGGUUAGGAGCAUAUACAUGAUCUGAUGUCUGAUGAGUUCGUUUCUGUUGGUCAGUCGCACUAAAGAUGGAUACGAUGAUAUUCUUGACUUUCCCUGUCUUAUCUCACAAGUUAGCACCUAUCUCAGCUUCUGACGGCGUCUGAUAGGUCGUUGGGAUUAUAGAUCCUGAAGAUCAUAGAUUGGGGAUGUCCACAUGUGUACUACCUAAUGAGCUGGUGGUGGACAUCCUGUCUCGACUGCGGCUGAAGUCCCUGUGCCGCUUCAAAUGUGUCUGCAAGUCUUGGCUUGCCUUCUCAUCUCAUCCAUACUACCGACAAAAGUUCCCAAGAACUCCCACUGGUCUCUUGUACCAGAAAUUUGAGCGUGGCAGACUUGCCUCCUCUCUUGGUAGUGGCAUCCAUCUCGCCAGACUGCCCUCAAGUGACAAGGAAAUUGACACAACACUUAGCUUUGUGCCAUGUUAUAAGUACCCAAUACUGCUUCGGGGUUGCUGCAAUGGCCUACUUCUUUGUUAUCAGAAAAAUAGAAUUGAAGAAAUUUCCAAGCUAUUGUGUGCAAUCCAGCAACUCAAGAGUGGAUGGCACUUCCAGAUACUGAACCUGGACCAUCGGUCUUUUCAGCUAAUCUCAAGUUGUGUUUUGAUCCAUUAUGGUCUCAACACUUCUGUGUCUUCAAAUUUCAGUCGAGCGCGGUCCUGGGCCCUCAUAUAAUUGGAACCUCCACUGAAGUUAAGGUAUUUUUCUCUGAGGAUUCCACGUGGUCUAGUUGUCUUUGGUGGUCUAGUUGUCUUUGGGAAUAUGGAGAUGGAUUUGAAGGUGAUCCGCUCUUUGUAAAUGGGGUGUUGUACAUGAAGCACCUAUUGGCUCAUAAAAUUCUGGCGCUUGACGCACCUGAUAGAAGUACGAAGUGGCUCGAUCAUAGGAUCAUUCAGCUGCCAGGAUAUCCGAAUAGGUCCAAAAUGACUUUCUGUUCUAAUGGAUGUAUUGGCCAGUCUUCGGGUGUCUUAUGCUACGCGAAACAAGAAUUUGAUGGCUGCGCAAUACGGAUUUGGAGUUUGGAAGUCCCUGAUGGGUGGGCGGUGAGGCAUCGUGUAAGUAUGGUUGAUAUAUUUGGCAGAGACAUUUUUCUCCGCACUGACCGUGAAGGAUACUGGGUUUUCGAAUAUAAAAUCAUGGCCGUUGACCUAGAGAGGGAGCUGGUUAUCCUUGAGGACAAAAUUGGUGAUAAGAUCAUCUCAGCUAGCAUCAGUACUGGUAAACGCUCACAGUCCCAAAAGAUUCCAAGAAGCUUCACCCGAAAAUAUCGCAGCCUAUUCUAUGUGCCAUACUAUGGCAAAGUUCCAGCUUUAGCAGUUAAGGGUCAGAGGAUGAAUCAUUCUAUGUUUUACAAUUUAUGGCAUCAGUUCUUUACUUUCCUUUUUAAGUUGGAUUAAGCUACUGUUAUGUGAUGUACUAUACUGGAUUGUUGUCUUUUCGUGCCACUCGUGUGAACAUUGUAGAACUCGCCUUUUCAGCCUGUCAACUCUUGUC